RNAcentral lists this small RNA (616 nucleotides) under Helotiales sp. SB56. RNAcentral's name for it is "eukaryotic LSU rRNA". The stretch from base 188 to 341 matches the Rfam family "5.8S ribosomal RNA". Lineage: Eukaryota; Fungi; Ascomycota; Leotiomycetes; Helotiales. The record is from RNAcentral.
CGCAGGAUCAUUACUAGCUUCUUACCUUAGGGGGGUAAACCUCUUAGCGAGAACUCCACCCUUUGUUUUUUACCUUUGGUGCUUUAGCAGGGCCGUUCUCGCCCCGCCGGCAAUAGCUGGUCCGCGCCUGCUAAAAGACCUAAAACUCGUGUUAAUAAUAUUGCCUGAGUACUAUAAUAAUAGUUAAAACUUUCAACAACGGAUCUCUUGGUUCUGGCAUCGAUGAAUAACGCAGCGAAAUGCGAUAAGUAAUGUGAAUUGCAAAAUUCUGUGAAUCAUCAAAUCUUUGAACGCACAUUGCGCCCUCUGGUAUUCCGGGGGGCAUGCCUGUUCGAGCGUCAUUACAACCCUCAAGCUCUGCUUGGUAUUAGGCUCCACCUGCUACAGGCGGGCCUCAAAAUCAGUGGCGGUGCCUUCUGGCUUCAAGCGUAAUAAUAUUUCUCGUUUGGGAGUACCGGUCGCGUCCCCCCCUAUAAAACCCCAAUUUUUAACGGCUGACCUCGGAUCAAGUAGGGAUACCCUCUGACCUUAAGCAUAUCAAUAAGCGGAGGAAAAUCGGGUAGUACGGUCCGCCUUAACUCUUGCAUUACAACGACACGAGAGGAAACUGAGGAAU